Molecule: non-coding RNA, 941 nt
Filed under: Aulorhynchus flavidus (tube-snout)
Lineage: Eukaryota; Metazoa; Chordata; Actinopteri; Perciformes; Aulorhynchidae
Description: 12S rRNA
Rfam family: Bacterial small subunit ribosomal RNA
Source: RNAcentral
CAAAGGCUUGGUCCUGACUUUAAAGUCAACUUUAGCUAAACUUACACAUGCAAGUAUCCGCACCCCUGUGAGGAUGCCCCCAACUCCCUGCCCGGGAACAAGGAGCUGGUAUCAGGCACAAUUCUUAGCCCACGACGCCUUGCUUAGCCACACCUUCAAAGGAAUUCAGCAGUGAUAAACAUUAAGCCAUAAGUGAAAACUUGACUUAGUUAAAGCUAAGAGAGCCGGUAAAACUCGUGCCAGCCACCGCGGUUAUACGAGAGGCUCAAGUUGACAAACACCGGCGUAAAGAGUGGUUAAGUUAAGAUUAAAACUAAAGUCAAACACCCUCAAAGCUGUUAUACGCAUCCGAGGAUUAGAAACUCAACCACGAAAGUGACUUUACUUAAACUGAACCCACGAAAGCUACGAUACAAACUGGGAUUAGAUACCCCACUAUGCUUAGCCCUAAACAUUGAUAGAACUUUACAACCUCUAUCCGCCUGGGGACUACAAGCAUUAGCUUGAAACCCAAAGGACUUGGCGGUGCUUUAGACCCACCUAGAGGAGCCUGUUCUAGAACCGAUAACCCCCGUUCAACCUCACCUCUCCUUGUUCCUCCCGCCUAUAUACCACCGUCGUCAGCUUACCCUGUGAAGGACCAAUAGUAAGCUUAACCGGCUCAGCCCAAAACGUCAGGUCGAGGUGUAGCGAAUGGAGGGGGAAGAAAUGGGCUACAUUCGCUAUAACAACGAAUACGGAUAUUGUACUGAAACGUACACUUGAAGGAGGAUUUAGCAGUAAGUAGAAAAUAGAGUGUUCUACUGAAAUUGGCCCUGAAGCGCGCACACAUCGCCCGUCACUCUCCCCAAGCAUAACAACUGAUUAACUAAAAACUAAUAAUUGCAAAGGGGAGACAAGUCGUAACAUAGUAAGUGUACCGGAAGGUGCACUUGGCAAAG